RNAcentral lists this long non-coding RNA (846 nucleotides) under Homo sapiens (human). Its description in RNAcentral is "HSALNT0382813". The record is from RNAcentral. Lineage: Eukaryota; Metazoa; Chordata; Mammalia; Primates; Hominidae.
ACAUGUUCAACUCCAGUAAACAGGUGAAGUAGUUUUACAAACCCAUUUCCCUAUGGGAAACAAAUUAACCAGCCAGAGUACAGCUUUUUGUUUGUUUCUUAACAGGUUUUGAACCCCUGAAUGGAAGCAUAAUCAAUGUGAAUAUUCUCUGCUCUUUCUAUGGACUUGGUUUGCUUUUCUGAUUUCUAUUCACUGAAGGUGAAAACUAAUGGUUACAGUGUUCUCUGAGAUAUAAUCCCUUUUGACACCACACAUUUCUAUACUUAAAACCAAGAAACACAUCUACUACAUAUUUUUAAAAUCCGAGUGAAAGUUUACAGAAUUUUUGAUAUUCUUUUGAACUUCAUACACUUAUAGGGAAGAAAAUUAUCUGCCUAAAGUAAGUUUCUAAAUUUUGCAGAUGUUUUGCUUAAAUUUCUUUUUGUAAUAAGGUGUUUUUAAGACCAGAAUUUGUUUCUGAAAUAAUUCACAAAAUUACCUCAUUUUAUUAAUUAUACCAUUGUUCCUCAGGGCUACUUUUAAUAACUAUCAGAAGAACCAGAUACAAGUCUUGGUUCUAGAAGAUUAAACUGGAUAAUAAAAUCAAGAUUAGAGACAGAAUGAGAAAGACCUGAGAAAACUUAAUGAGGUCAUGUUGUGGAUGGGACAAGGAUCUGAGUCUCCUGCCUUCCAGAUCUGUGUUUGCUCUGCGGUACUGCAUCUGGCCUCUGCUUGAGUCAAAGGAAAUUGUCUAAACCAUGCGACUCAUUGAGACUAGAGUCUCCCUGGAGCUAAGGGGACCCCUCUAUCUGGGUUCCAAGAUGGCCGAAAAGGAACAGCUCCAGUCUACAGCUCCCAGCAUGAGCG